GAUGAACGCUGGCGGCGUGCCUAACACAUGCAAGUCGAACGGAGUUCUUAAGGAAUGCGACUUCGGUCAAAUGACUUUUGAACUUAGUGGCGGACGGGUGAGUAACGCGUGAGCAACCUGCCUUUCAGAGGGGGAUAACAUUUGGAAACAGAUGCUAAUACCGCAUAAGAUUACAGUACCGCAUGAUACAGUGAUCAAAGGAGCAAUCCGCUGAAAGAUGGGCUCGCGUCCGAUUAGAUAGUUGGUGAGGUAACGGCUCACCAAGUCGACGAUCGGUAGCCGGACUGAGAGGUUGAACGGCCACAUUGGGACUGAGACACGGGCCCAGACGUCCUACGGGAGGCAGCAGUGGGGAAUAUUGCACAAUGGGCGAAAGCCUGAUGCAGCAACGCCGCGUGAGGGAAGACGGUUUUCGGAUUGUAAACCUCUGUUUUACGGUGACGAACAAUGACGGUAACCGAGUAGGAAGCCACGGCUAACUACGUGCCAGCAGCCGG
RNAcentral lists this ribosomal RNA (497 nucleotides) under uncultured bacterium. RNAcentral's name for it is "bacterial SSU rRNA". It matches the Rfam family "Bacterial small subunit ribosomal RNA", at positions 28 to 518 of the family's 1533-position model. The record is from RNAcentral.